Lucilia sericata (common green bottle fly) is the source of this 3606-nucleotide RNA transcript. It is a transcript of the gene named matrix metalloproteinase-14, with no coding region annotated. The record is from RefSeq and is a predicted model, not a curated record. NCBI's taxonomy places the organism in Eukaryota, Metazoa, Arthropoda, Insecta, Diptera, Calliphoridae. The transcript is spliced from 8 exons.
UAGUAGUAUAGUUCGAUAUUAGUCAAUGAAUGUUGGGAAGAAACGAUAAAUAAACGAUAAUAACACACAACAACAGAAAUAACAAAAAAAAUAUACUAAAUAGCAACCAGAUGAUGAUGUUGAUGAUUACGUUGAGGUUGUUGUUUUAACAAAUUGUGAAUUCGAAAAAUCAGUUGAAAUUUGCUCGCCUUAGCAAGAGGUUGUUAACAGCUCCGCCUCUUGAUAGAAUAACAAACUAAAUUUUUCUUUUUUUUUUUAAAUAAUAACGCGGGUUUUAAACAGAAACUUUUAAAUUUUAAUUAAGAAUUUUUUGAAUAUUGAAAAUAAAUAAAAUCGAACGAACAUUUUUGAACCAGAAAACGCAAAAUUUUUUUUAAAAAAAAUAUUAAAAUUUUAUUAAAAUAUAAAGAAAAAAAACUAAUAAAAAGAACUUAAAAGUGCAAAGUGUUUUUUGAAAAUAAAAGAAGUUUUAUUAACGAAUUUAAUAAAAAAUUGUUUAAAGCAAACAAACAAAACAGUUGCCACAAAAGAAAAAAAAUAUUGAAAAAUAAUUUAACAAAAUUUUAGUAAAAUAAUAAACAUAAUAUUAUCUUUAAACCACUUAAAAGUUACACUAUCAAACAACUACAAAAAAAAUUUCAUUUCUCUCAGUGUAACUAAAAACAAGCGUGCCUUUUUUAUCACAUAUCAAACAAAAUAAUCGUUAAAAUUAAAGUGUUUUAAAUAGAAUAUGUUUAAUAGUAAACAAUUACCACCACCUCCAACAACAAGACGACGAAAUAAUCUUCAAACAUUGCCAGUGACUUUAUCAUCUAGAACGUCAACAUCUGCAGCAACAGUCAUCUCAAAUUCAUUAUUAAGCACCACCACCACCUGUAAAAGCUCAAACAGCCUUAAAAUGUCUACCCGCCAAAGUUAUGUGUUCUUAGGUUUAACCGUACUGUUAACAAUUAUAGCCACAGUCCAAUCUGGACCAGUGUCAACGACAACGCAAGCUGAGAUAUAUUUAUCACAAUUUGGUUACUUACCCGCCUCCGCCCGCAAUUCUGCCAAUGGUGGUCUCUUGGAUGCCAAUACCUGGAUCAAAGCCGUGCAGGACUUUCAAAGUUUCGCCGGUUUAAAUACCACCGGUGAGCUAGAUGCUGAGACCAUGGAAUUAAUGUCACUGCCACGUUGUGGCGUACGCGAUAAGGUGGGUUUUGGUAAUGAUAAUCGUUCUAAGCGUUAUGCACUCCAGGGCAGCCGUUGGCGUGUAAAGGCUUUGACCUAUAAAAUCUCCAAAUAUCCUAAACGUUUGAAGAAAGCUGAUGUUGAUGCCGAAAUUGCUAGAGCUUUUGCUGUCUGGAGCGAAUACACCGAUCUAAGUUUUACUCCCAAAAGUUCGGGACCAGUACAUAUUGAAAUUAAAUUUGUUGAAAGUGAACAUGGUGAUGGUGACGCUUUCGAUGGUGUAGGUGGCACCUUGGCUCAUGCCUUCUUCCCUGUCUUUGGUGGUGAUGCUCAUUUUGAUGAUGCUGAACUUUGGACCAUAGGCAGUCCUCGUGGCACUAAUCUUUUCCAAGUAGCUGCUCAUGAAUUUGGUCACUCUUUGGGUUUGUCACAUUCCGAUGUACGUUCCGCUUUAAUGGCUCCCUUCUAUCGUGGUUUUGAGCCUGUUUUCAAAUUGGACUCUGAUGAUGUUUUAGCCAUUCAGGCUUUAUAUGGCAAGAAGUCCUCUUCAAAUGGUAAUGGUAUAAAUCCCCCCAGCGGUGGUGCCUUCCCACGUACUACACAAAGACCCGCCUUUGCUCCACCACGCACACCCAGAGAUGAUCAAUUAUGUAAAGAUCCCAAAAUUGAUGCUCUCUUCAACUCAGCCGAUGGCCAGACUUAUGCUCUUAAGGGCAAUAAAUACUAUAAGCUUACCGAAAACUCAGUGGCCGACGGAUAUCCCAAACUUAUCUCAGAAGGAUGGCCUGGUUUACCAGGCGAUAUUGAUGCUGCUUUUACCUAUAAAAAUGGCAAAACAUAUUUCUUCAAGGGCACCAAAUAUUGGCGUUACAAUGGCCGUCAAAUGGAUGGUGAUUACCCGAAAGAGAUUAGUGAAGGUUUUACCGGAGUGCCCGAUCAUUUGGAUGCUGCCAUGGUUUGGGGCGGUAAUGGUAAAAUUUACUUCUAUAAGGGCAGUAAAUUCUGGCGUUUCGAUCCCUUGAAGAGACCACCAGUUAAGUCCAGCUAUCCCAAACCGAUUUCGAAUUGGGAAGGCUUGCCAAAUAGUUUAGAUGCUGCCUUACAAUAUACCAAUGGUUAUACGUACUUCUUUAAGGGUGAUAAAUACUAUCGGUUUAACGAUAGAACAUUUGCAGUUGAUGCUGCUGAUCCUCCAUUCCCCCGCCCCUCAGCCCACUGGUGGUUCGGUUGCAAGAAUACACCCUCAACAACAGGUAAUAUUGUGGACAAUUCACAGGAAACUGAAUUGCAUGAAUCAUCUUUCAAUGAUUAUGAAAAUGAUGAUACAGUAUUUGAUGCAGCAAAUACUUUUAGGAUAAAAUGAGCUGCCAUAUUUUUAUUAUAUUCCCACCACUUUGGUUUUCAAAAGCAUGAGUUUUUCCUUUGCAUUUCCAAAAGUCAAUUAAAGGCGUACGAAAACGUGGAUAAAUUACAAAAAAAAACAAAAACUUCAUACACAAACUGUAAAGAAAACAUAAAUAAUACAUUAAACAUAUCCCCACACAUAUACGCAACCCCCCAAACACACACACACACAGUCACAAAACAAUAUACAUACAAAUGCAUAAAACUAUUAAACUAAAAGCUUCGCAAUACUACAACGUUAUAAAAAGAAAAAGGAAACGGAAAUAAUUGUUAGAAAUGUAAAGUAGUGUGUAAUAGUAGAAAAUUUUCUUUUGCUUACACUUUCUAGCUUCUUCUCUCUCUUUGUCUCUUUCAUUCUCUGUAUGCAAUACAAAGCUUAGAUGUCUUAGAUCUUUGUAAAAUGUUAAUGUUAUCCCCCCCCCCUUUCCCAAUCUUUCACUUUUUCCUUCUCUUUUGUAAUUGAGUGUUAAAAGUAUGGCUUAGAGAGUAGUAAAAACAAAAACGAAAAUGUUAACAAAUUGCUGCAAGCACGUUAUUAUUUGAAUGUUAGUUUGUUUUGUUAAUUCUUGCUAAUUGCAACAAAUUUCAAAGUGAUUUUUUUAAAUAAUUUUUUAAUUUUUUAAAACUAUUUUAUUUUCUUUUUUUUUAUUUAUUUGAAACAAACAAAAACGACUUUAAACGAAAACUAAAAACAAAUUCAAAACACUCAAAAACGAUUCUGAAACACUUUAAAAAUUUUAAAAACUAAAAAUCUGACUCAAAAAACUUUAAAAACCAACACACCCAUCCACCCACCAACCAACCAAGCAGAUAUUGAAAAAAGAGAUGUAAAUAAUAAUGGCAGAGGAUUUGUAACGCCUGGCUGGAUGUGGAAUAUAGCACGUUCAUGGUUUUAAAGUUUAACAAACAACAACAACAACUAAACACACAACAAAAGAAACGUGAUAUUUUUGUAAACAACAAAAAAAAAGUUAAUAAUAAUAUAAAAAAACUAACUAAAUGAGACUUGGUAAACUAAACCAAACUUAAAAA